RNAcentral lists this long non-coding RNA (1085 nucleotides) under Equus caballus (horse). Its description in RNAcentral is "lncRNA (ENSECAG00000045020.1)". Lineage: Eukaryota; Metazoa; Chordata; Mammalia; Perissodactyla; Equidae. The record is from RNAcentral.
UUGGGAUCGAUCCAAGAGGGAGGCUAACGUCUACAGCUUAUCAUUUCCAGUCAGUGGUUGUUAAUUUUCUUCAGAUCAUGACUAUGUGAUUUGUGGACUGAAGAGCUAGCCGCAAAGUUCGAACUUCCUGCAAUUACUGAACUGAACUGAACCAUGGUAACUGAAAGGUGAACUGAGAUGUUGGAGGACUGGGUUAUUUAACUAAACCAUGGUAACUGGAAAUCGUGCAUGUCAGAACCAUGCAAAGUGAGGCCUGUGUGUACAUGAUGCAGUUCAGCACUGUUCUGAAGACUGGAAGUCCAAGAUCAAGAUGCCAGGAGGGUUCAUUUUGUUCACGCUGCACCAUCUAUCAGUGGUACAAGUGUAUGCGGACGGACUUCUGGUUCUGCUCCAGCUGUGCACCAAGUGCACAGUCCCUCAGUGAUCUCGCAGAUCCCAGCCCAGGCCCAGUGACCACCUUACCAUGGUCCUUCCACUGCAGACACCGUGCACUCUGAGCCUCGUGCUCACAACAGGGCCUCAACUUCCUCUAAGCCCAGCAGCCUUGGCUCACCUGCACUAGGGAGGGAGACCAGUUAGGAUGUUCUUGCAGUAGACUAGGCAAGAUAUAAUGGCAUCUUUUAACCAGGACCAUUGAAGUGGAGAUGAUGAGGAAUGGUUAGUUCCAGAUAUAAUCUGGAGUUAGAGCCAAUAAAACUUACUGAUGGAUUGGAUGUGGGGUAUGAAUUAACAUGAGAAAUCAAGAUAUUUGUACCAAGCAACUGAAUAAAUGAUAGAAAAGAUAUUAAGAUGGAAAAGAUUUAGAGAGGUCCAUAUUUGGGAAUUGGAGAAGGUAGAUGGAAAUCAAGUUUUCUAUUUUAACCAUGUUUAAUUUGAACUACCUAUUAGAUAUAGAAGUGGAGACAUAGAAUAAGCAGUUAGAUAUACUAGCCUAGAGCUCAGGAGAGAAAACAAGGUUGAAUAUAUGAAUUAGGGUCAUCAGUAUAUAGAUGGUUUAUUAAGCCAUGACUCUGGCUGAAAUUACAUGAAGUCUAGAGAGAUAAUGGAGAGGAGGGAAAGGAAGAAGGAGGGGAGGGGAAGGGAGG